UACUCCAGGUAAGGUAUAUUGUUACAAUCGGCUAUACUUUAGAAUCCGUGAACCAUCAACCCCAGCCAGAGAUACAGUAAAUAUAUCAGGAGUAAGGUAUAGUGUCUCCAGAAGUAAAUAUAUCAGGAGUACCCCAUGGCAAUAUAACAGAUCAGAUAACGACCACUUGUUUUCUUCCAUGUCGAAUUGGCCAAAGACUAAACAAGAUGGAUCCAGUGAGGAAGCCCAAAAAGGUCAGAUGUCCAGAAUUGAAACGAUGCAAGCCAGAUAGUUAUGGACCUAAAGACCUAGAUAAUGUAAUUCUGAACCACCACACUUUGAUAUUUCUCAAAUAACAGACCCAGAUACAUUUGAACCACCAUGCCCUGGUUUUAUGGCACGUCAGCUCCAACCGGGCUAUAUUGCGCCAGACAUAUGGUGAAAAGUAUGAGACAAACUAAAUAUCUUAUGGAAUUUAUGUACACAAAUAAAAGCAAAUAUCACAGUGUAUUAAAUAAUUAAAAAUAAAAAUCACAACUUCAUGUACACAAGUAUUUAAAAAUGAAAAACAAUAUGAUAUAUAUUUACAAUUAAAAUUGUUUAUAAAAAUUUGUCUCUUUUAAAAAAUCUAGUAGUUUCGAAUAUAGACCCGUUUGGGCAAAUAAAUGAUUUAAUGAU
Patella vulgata (common limpet) is the source of this 657-nucleotide long non-coding RNA. RefSeq lists it as uncharacterized. NCBI's taxonomy places the organism in Eukaryota, Metazoa, Mollusca, Gastropoda, Patellidae. The transcript has 3 exons. The record is from RefSeq and is a predicted model, not a curated record.